This is a non-coding RNA of Macaca mulatta (Rhesus monkey), 1454 nucleotides long. The record is from RefSeq and is a predicted model, not a curated record. NCBI's taxonomy places the organism in Eukaryota, Metazoa, Chordata, Mammalia, Primates, Cercopithecidae.
GCAAAGCGUCCUGGGGCUUGUAGUUUCCGCUGAGUGUGGGCUCCGCGGUCGCGGGUUUCGCUUCCCAGCUCUGCCCUCGCUUGCUGGCCCGUCUCCAGGGUCAGCGCGGGGCCACCAUCCAGCCGCUCGGGGCCCUCCCCAAGCAGCUGUGGAGGAUGCACUGAGCCUGCGCAGCCAUGGCCUCGGCAGGGGCGGAGAGGCGGCCGGGGGUCCAGGAGGCUACGGUCGUGGGGCAGGGACAGCUCGCGGAGGACCCCGGCAGCGCUGAGACCUCCGAGGUGUUCAGUGACGGAUCCCUAUGUCCUUUGCCCGACCAUGGUGACCGAUGGCCUGUGUGUCACCUCUAGUGUCCAGUGGCGGAAGAACAUUUCCUGGUGCCAGCCCAUGAGGCCCGCGGAACCCAGGGUGAAGACCAGCGCCCAGCAGGCGCAGCUUCGGAGCUGGAGCUCCAGGAGGAAGGACCCAAGCUGGGGGAGGAGAGGCCCAAGCCGGAAGCCGGGGCGCUAGAGGAGAGAGGCCCCAGGCCCGUGGUCUCCAUUGUGAGGCCCCGUCAUGGUCCAAAGAGAAAGCCUGUCAAGUCCCUCAGCCUCCCGGGCCUUCGUGCCCAUCCCAAGGCUGAAGCUGAGCUGCCACCCAGGCUGCCGCUGCAGGAGGAGGAGCCAGAGGGCGGCCAGAGUGAGCCCUCACCAUCUGCCAAACAGCACAAAAAAGCCAAGAAGCGCAAGAGCCUGGGGGCUCCCGUGCUCCACGCUGUGGCCAGCACGGUGUCUGCACCCUUAGAGACAUUGGGGCUGGAGCGUGAGUGGCAGUCCCUGGGCUGUUCCUUCUCCCUGUGGGGCCUGACAUGGCACAACCUGGCGUUCUAGCCUCUGCCCUGCCCUGGGUCUUUGCAGGAAAGGCCCAGCGCCUGCGGCCCCUGUACCAGUACAUCAACUAUUGCAACCCCGAGCUGAACCAGGCAGGGGAGGGGGACGGGGAGGCCGAGGUGGAGGCAGAGGCAGAGCUGGCCCUGGUUCCCAAGGAGGCAGGUGUGGAGCAACUGCAGGCCUUGCUGCCCUUGGCAGGUGAGCUGGGCCCAGGCCUCGCUUUGCCCUGUCCCAGUCCAUUAGUGACCCCCAUCCAUGCUCUGGCUCCCCUCGGAGAGGAGGCUGGAGAGGAGGCUGGGGGCUUGCCCAGCUUGGGGGUGAGUGACCACCACAAGGCUGAGGUGGAUAAGUCAACCCAGGUGGACAUCGACAAGAUGCUGAGUGUCUGCACUGCUCCGCUUGUCCCCCCGCUCUCUCCUCAGUACAAGUGACUGUCCCGCCCCACUGGUGGCUCCCCUCCUUCCAUGCCUGAAUUUGGCUUCAGGCUUCCUGUGGGCCUAGGCCCUCUGGUGGAGGGGGCAAAUUUGGCACCUGCCCCCACUUGGGACUUUGGGCUUGCUGAAAAUAAAUAUUUUUCUUUUUCAAAGA